AACUUUUAACAAUGGAUCACUUGGCUCUCGCAUCGAUGAAGAACGCAGCGAAUUGCGAUAAGUAAUGUGAAUUGCAGAAUUACGUGAAUCAUCGAAUCUUUGAACGCAUAUUGCACUCUCUGGUAAUCCGGGGAGUAUGCCUGUUUGAGGGUCAGUAAAAUAAUAAUUAUCAUAAAUCUUUGAUUAUGGAAUUGGGCUUUUAUUUCAAAAUAGAUUUAUGGCCUUAAAUUUAUGUUAUGGGCUUGUGUAUUAUAUAAAAUUUGAACUAAAUGGAGCAAUUAAACAUUCUCUCGUUAGACGAUUUUAUUCACAAGCUAUUACGAUUUUUUGGUUGCACAAAAGCACCUUUACAAGUGCUUGGCCAAGAUCGUAAGUUUACUCUAACAAAUGACCUCAAAUCAGGCAAGAAUACCCGCUGAACUUAAGCAUAUCAAUAAGCGGAGGCU
RNAcentral lists this unclassified non-coding RNA (446 nucleotides) under uncultured Entrophospora. RNAcentral describes it as "uncultured Claroideoglomus sequence contains ITS2". The stretch from base 1 to 154 matches the Rfam family "5.8S ribosomal RNA". The record is from RNAcentral. Lineage: Eukaryota; Fungi; Glomeromycota; Glomeromycetes; Entrophosporales; Entrophosporaceae.